CGCAACUAGGGUUGCCACACACGCCAAGUGGAGGAGAAGAGCCUGCUGUGUGCGCGCACCUGACAGUCACCGGCUUCUCUUUACGUUUCCAAUAGGAAGCGCACACUACGCUGUGGGAACAAAAACACCAGGUGUCUGCUAUGGCCAAGGCAGAUAAGGUCUUUCUCUCCAACAGGAUCCAGAGAUGAGCCACUGGUACUAACACCCAACGGCUGAUGAAUACGUCUGCUGAGGGACACGUUCUACAAAACAAUGAAGUUUGCUGCAUCAACUGCAUUUUCCUUUCAUGAAAAAUUUCUCUGUACCAUGCAGUGGUGUUUGACAGCAUGUUACCCACAGUAGAAUUACUUUCAAAAUCUGAGUCAAUCUUCUCAAACCCUGCCGCUGCUUUAUCAACUAAGUAUGCACUACUGUAAAUCUUUGAUCACUUCAACAAUGUUCACAGCAUCUUCGCUGGUAGAUUUCCUCUUAAAAAACCACAUUGCUCAUUCACAAGAACCAAUGCCUCAGCAAUUUACGUUUUCUCAUGAGACUGCAGUAAUUCAGUCACAUCCUCAGGCUCCAUGUCUAAUUCUAGUUCACUUGCUAGUUCCACCCCAUCUGCAGUUACUUCCUCUACUGAAGUCUUGGAAUGAACUUCUUCCAAACUCCUGUUCAUGUUGCAUUUUGACCUCCUUCCAUGAAUCACCAAUGUUUUUAAUGGCAUCUAGAAUGGUGAAUCCUUUCCUGAGGGUUUUCAAUGUGCUUUGCCCAGAUCCAUCAGAGGAACCACUGCCUGUGACAGCUAAAGCCUUAUGAAGUGUAUUUCUUAAGUAAAAGUAAAACUUACUCCUUGAUCCAUGGGCUACAGAAUGGAUGUUGUGUUAGCAGGCAUGAAAACAACAACAGUCUCCUUGUACAACUCCAUCAGACCUCUUGGGUGACCAGGUGCAUUGUCAAUGAGCAGUAAUAUUUUGAAAGAAAUCUUUUUUUCCGAGCAGUAGGUCUCAACAGUAGGCUUAAAACGUUCAGUAAACCUUGCUGUAAACAAAUCUGCUGUCAUCUGCCGAGGCUUUGUUAGUCAUUGGCAGGGUAUAGGUAGAUUUAGCUUCAGAUUCAAGGGCCUUAGGAUUUUCUGAAUGGUAAAUGAGCACUGGCUUCAAUGUAAGGUCACCAGCUACAUUAGUCCCUAACAAGAGCGUCAGCCUUCGAAGCCUGGAAGCCAGGCAUUGACUGUUCUCUAGCUAUGAAAGUCCUAUAUGGCAUCUUCUGUUUCAUCUGCAUUGCAAAAGUGUAGUGUAGCCACCUUUUUCAAGAUCAUAGCUAGAUCUUCUGGAGAACUUGCUGCAGCUUCUACAUCAGCACUUGCUGCCUUACCUUGCACUUUAUGUUAUGGAGAUGGCUUCUUUCCUUAAACUUCAUGAACCAACCUCUGCAAGCUUUCAAAUUUUCUUCUGCAGCCUCCUUACCUCUCUCAGCCUUCAAAGAAUUGAAAUGAGUUAAGGCCUUGCUAUGGAUUAGGUUUGGCUUAAGGAAAUGUGGCUGGUUUGAUCUUUAUCCAGACCACUCAAACAUUCUCCAUAUCAGGAAAUAAGGCUGUUUUGCUUUCUUUUUUUUUUUUUAAAGAAAUGGAGUCUCUCUCUGUCACCCAGAACAGAAUCCAGUGGUGUGAUCAUAGCUCACUGCAGCCUCAAACUCCUGGGCUCUAGCGAUCCUCCUGCAUCAGCCUCCUGAGGAGCUAGGACUACAGGCAUGCACCACACACAGCUUGCUUUCUUAUCAUUAGUGUUCAAUGGAGUAACACUUGUAAUUUCCUUCAAUAACUUUUUCUUUGCAUUCACAGCUUGGCUGUUUGGUGCAAGAGGCCUAGCUUUGGGCCUAUCUCAGCUUUUGAAUGCCUGCUUCACUAAGCAUAAUCAUUUCUAGCUUUUGAUUUAAAGCGAGAGACUUUCGACUUUUUCUUUCACUUAACACUUAGAAGCCACUGUACUGUAGGGCUUUUGGCCUCAUUUCAAUAUUGUAUCUCAGGGAACGGGGAGCCUGAGGAGAGGGGAAGAGAGACGGGGGAACAGUCAGAACACACACAACAUUUAUCAAUUAAGUUUGCCAUCUUAUAUGGGCACAGGUCAUGGCUCCCCAAAACAAUUACAACAGUAACAUCAAAGAUCACAGAUCACCAUAAAAGAGAGAGUAAUAAUGAAAAAGCUUGAAAUGUUGGGAGAGCUACCAAAAUGUGAUGCAGACACACAAAGUACGCACAAGCUGUUGGAAAAAUGCUGCCGACUGACUUGCCUGCUGCAGGGCUGCCACAAACUGUAAAAAUGCAGCGCACCUGUGAAGCGCCACGAAGCCACACAUGAUGGGGUGGGACACGUCUGUGCAUGGCUGGGGAAACAGUCACCCUUGUGGGUGUACAGCUCUUCAGAUGUUUUGCAUUAGAAUGCAGGCAUAAAGUCCCUUAUGUAUUUUUAAUUUCCAAGCAACAAUAAUUUAAAAAUCAGUUGGAGAGUGUCAGCAGGUGCUUCUAGGUUCUGUGUGGUGAGCCCCCAGGUCCUGGCGUGUAGGGCUCUGGAUGUCUCUGUACACGGGAUAGAAACAUGGUCACGUGGGAAUGCCAAUAUGACUUAUUGCUUAUUGAGCUGUGCAGGCUUUUCUGCUUUAUCAAUUACGCCUCCAGGAAGCUGUGAAAGAAAGCUUCAUCCAUCUCCCACAGGAUUUGUCUCCAUAUUUGUGACACAUAAUAAAAUGUUAUGUACUCUUUAUGUAAUUUUACUCUCCUACUCAUGGCUGCUUAUCACUUGUGACAACAUGUUAAUUUUUCCAGUGCGGUCCUUGUAGACUGUUUUUCUUUUUCUUUUUUUUUUUUUUUUGAGGCGGAGUCUUGCUCUGUCACCCAGGCUGGAGUACAGUGGCACAAUCUCAGCUCACUGCAAUCUCCACCUGCCGGGUUCAAGCGAUUCUUGUGCCUUGCCUCCCCAGUAGCUGGGAUUACAGGAGCACACCACCACGCCUGGCUAAUUUCUGUAUUUUUAGUAGAGAUGGGGUUUCACUAUGUUGGCCACCAUGUACAAAAAUACAAAAAUUAGCUGGGCAUGGUGGCGGGCACUUGUAAUCCCAGGUACUUGGGAGGCUGAGGCACGAGAAUCGCUUGAACUCCUGACCUCAGGUGAUCCGUCUGCCUCAGCCUCCCAAAGUGCUGGGAUUACAGGCGUGAACCACCAUGCCCGGCCUAGACUGUAUUUCUUCAAAGAUCACAGGCUGCUUAUAAAAGUACCCUGCCUUCCCAAUUGAGGUGAUUUCUGACAGCUAAUUACCAAAAGACAUCACCGUCUUACGAUAGCAACUCAACACAGAAAGUCUGAUGGAAAGCCAUUUUAUUUUUCUCUAAAUUUUAAAAUAGAAGACUUUAAUGGAAAACAUUUAGUACCAUCAUGUCACCCUGAAUGCCAGCAAUACCUCGACUUUUACACACGCAGGAAGCCUAGUAAAAGCCCCGUCAGUAGUACACAUUUCUCUAUGGUCCUUCAACAGUUUUGCAUAUACAAAAUUUUCUGCUAUUUUGCUUUAGCAAACAGCAAUAAACUUUUGUGUUUCCUAUAUGACACCUAAUAUCCAGUCCUACAGUAAUAUAGUUAGAAAAAUAAAAGGCUUAAAAAUUUCAUAGUACGAGUUCAUGGUGCUAAUAACAGAAUCUCUUUAAACAUAAGAUCAUUUUAAGCCUCUUACAUAACCACCUUCUGGUUUCAUUUGAAAUCCUUAAGAAUUAAAAUCUAGUAAGAUUGUUAAAUCAACGUACGUCAAUCAUUCAUUUUCACUUGCCUUGGGAGAGUUAAUUCCCACUGUCCACUGAAUGAAUGCCUUUCAAAUAUUAAUAAAUAUAUUACAGUAUUUACAAGCAUUCUUAUACACUCCGACACUGACAGGGAGUUAAGCCAUGGAGAGGGAAGCACAGGUUUCCCAAUAGUGUGACUUCAUGACGUAUGGGACAAAAGGAACCGGUGCUCAGGCCUGGAGGGAGCUGAGAUGAGAGCAGGGAUGAUGGUUCAGAUACGCACACAUGCUCUAAGACACAUCAGACUCUAGCUGAGACCAGCCAGACAUUUCUUUUGUUGUUGGAUUAGAAGUAAAACUGAACAAGAAACCAGGACACGGAAGGAAGAACUGGAAGCUAUGCCUAAAGUCAGACCAGGCUAAGGAUUUUAAAACCAAGCUCCACAAGCUCUUAGUGAAUUACCCUGUGGAAACUAUGUAGCUGACGUGAAGUGUGGAGGGGGGUGGUAGAAAGGGGGGUUAAAUGUAAGACUUUGUUUUGGCAACAAAAAAUGAUAGUAAUUUGAUUUCUACAACUUUAACUGUGCCAUGUGCCCUUUCUUACCCCACUUUCUGCAGAUUGUUUCAUAUGAACGUACCCUCCACGUGACCUCUUUAAUGCACUUGGCAAACUCCGUUAAUGCUGUUGAAGAAUGUAUGUUCUGUGCUGUGGUAAGAGGUGAUCGUAAUGCCCAAAUCAUCCAAUACACUAUCAUAAAGUGAAGUGAAAGACAUGUACUAGAUGUUUGCUUUGUGAAUGUGAAUGAAAGUCUUAUUUUGGGGGUGUAGUUUCUUAUGUUUUAAUAAAAACAGUAGUCAUUAUUU
This 4614-nucleotide long non-coding RNA is filed under the name Homo sapiens (human). RNAcentral's name for it is "HSALNT0393119". Lineage: Eukaryota; Metazoa; Chordata; Mammalia; Primates; Hominidae. The record is from RNAcentral.